AAUCAACGCUGGCGGCGUGCCUAACACAUGCAAGUCGAACGAGAAAGUGGAGCAAUCCAUGAGUAAAGUGGCGCACGGGUGAGUAACACGUGACUAACCUACCCUUGAGUGGGGGAUAACCUAGGGAAACCUGGGCUAAUACCGCAUAAUAAUCGAGAGAUCAAAGGAAGCAAUUACGCUUAAGGAGGGGGUCGGCGGCUGAUUAGCUAGUUGGU
Molecule: ribosomal RNA, 215 nt
Filed under: uncultured bacterium
Lineage: Bacteria
Description: partial 16S ribosomal RNA
Rfam family: Bacterial small subunit ribosomal RNA
Source: RNAcentral